RNAcentral lists this ribosomal RNA (468 nucleotides) under uncultured bacterium. Its description in RNAcentral is "partial 16S ribosomal RNA". It matches the Rfam family "Bacterial small subunit ribosomal RNA", at positions 28 to 507 of the family's 1533-position model. The record is from RNAcentral.
GACGAACGCUGGCGGCGUGCUUAACACAUGCAAGUCGAACGGAAAGGCCCUGCUUUUGUGGGGUGCCCGAGUGGCGAACGGGUGAGUAACACGUGAGUAACCUGCCCUUGACUUUGGGAUAACUUCAGGAAACUGGGGCUAAUACCGGAUAGGAGCUCCUGCUGCAUGGUGGGGGUUGGAAAGUUUCGGCGGUUGGGGAUGGACUCGCGGCUUAUCAGCUUGUUGGUGGGGUAGUGGCUUACCAAGGCUUUGACGGGUAGCCGGCCUGAGAGGGUGACCGGCGACAUGGGGACUGAGAGACGGCCCAGACGGCUACGGGAGGCAGCAGUGGGAAAUAUUGCACAAUGGGCGGAAGCCUGAUGCAGCAGCGCCGCGUGCGGGAUGACGGCCUUCGGGUUGUAAACCGCUUUCGCCUGUGACGAAGCGUGAGUGACGGUAAUGGGUAAAGAAGCACCGGCUAACUACGUG